ACCCGAUGCAAACUGCGAAUACCGGAGAAUGUUAUCACGGGAGACACACGGCGGGUGCUAACGUCCGUCGUGAAGAGGGAAACAACCCAGACCGCCAGCUAAGGUCCCAAAGUCAUGGUUAAGUGGGAAACGAUGUGGGAAGGCCCAGACAGCCAGGAUGUUGGCUUAGAAGCAGCCAUCAUUUAAAGAAAGCGUAAUAGCUCACUGGUCGAGUCGGCCUGCGCGGAAGAUGUAACGGGGCUAAACCAUGCACCGAAGCUGCGGCAGCGACACUCAGGUGUUGUUGGGUAGGGGAGCGUUCUGUAAGCCUGCGAAGGUGGCCUGUGAGGGUUGCUGGAGGUAUCAGAAGUGCGAAUGCUGACAUAAGUAACGAUAAAGCGGGUGAAAAGCCCGCUCGCCGGAAGACCAAGGGUUCCUGUCCAACGUUAAUCGGGGCAGGGUGAGUCGACCCCUAAGGCGAGGCCGAAAGGCGUAGUCGAUGGGAAACGGGUUAAUAUUCCCGUACUUGGUGUUACUGCGAAGGGGGGACGGAGAAGGCUAUGUUGGCCGGGCGACGGUUGUCCCGGUUUAAGCGUGUAGGUGUGUGUUCCAGGUAAAUCCGGUU
Molecule: ribosomal RNA, 604 nt
Filed under: Salmonella enterica subsp. enterica serovar Agona
Lineage: Bacteria; Pseudomonadati; Pseudomonadota; Gammaproteobacteria; Enterobacterales; Enterobacteriaceae
Description: partial 23S ribosomal RNA
Rfam family: Bacterial large subunit ribosomal RNA
Source: RNAcentral